This 1739-nucleotide long non-coding RNA is filed under the name Schizosaccharomyces pombe (fission yeast). Lineage: Eukaryota; Fungi; Ascomycota; Schizosaccharomycetes; Schizosaccharomycetales; Schizosaccharomycetaceae. The record is from RNAcentral.
AAAGUAUGAGACAAAGGCAUCUAUCUUCAAUGAGUUAUUGUUUUGUCUAGUGUACAUAUCUGCUGGACAACCAGCCAGAGCACAAGAGAUGGUGUAUUGGACUUUGCGGAAUGGCAAGUAUAAGACUCGCGAAUUGUAUUUGAUGUUUGGAAGGCUGAUGAUUUACAGCAGAUACGAUAAGACUCGUAAUAUGAAGUUUGCUGAAAAGCCAAUCCCCAGGUUUCUUUCUGAGCUGCUUUCCAUUUUAGCACUUCGGUACUAUGUUUUGGUUCGACCAUUAGAAGCAUUGAUGAAGUAUGUGACAACCGCUGAUAGGUCGAAAGUAGCUGCAUGCACACUUGGAUUUCAUGUUUGUGAUUGUUGGCGAACGAUUGCAAAGAGAUUUACCGUAUCGAAUUUUUUCAAAGGCCAUCUACCAAUGCAUUCAGAAACCGUUGGGAUUUCAAAACUACAGACACAUUGCUCACUACUUUAAAGAAAAAGAACAUCGAGGAAGAAAUGACGAGGGAAUCAUAUUUCGAUUUACAGGCUGAACAUACACGAAACACAGCGCUCUACAUCUAUGGACGCACUAUGGACAACUUGCAUUAUCUGCCAUCGGAUUAUUUCGUCAACUUUUUUCGUGCAAGCUAUAAGUGGCAGGAACUAUUGCAGAUUCGAGACAACCCGACCCAUGGAUUGUUGGUAGAAACAAAGCACCCAUUCAUCAAGCGAGUUGAUCAAUUGGAGAACGCAAAUGGAAAGACACGAAUCAUGAUCGCUUAGCAAGGGAUUUGGACUCGGUAUCAACUAUAUGGGAGUGCGUUUAGUAGUACACUAUAGAUUGCCAGCUUCAUCUAUGGAUUAUGUAUACAGGAGACAGGCCGAGCUGGAAGAGAUGGCAAGUAUGCGAUUGCAGCAUUGUUUUACGAGAAAUAUGACUCUACAUGGUCAAGCUACGUGAAGGAUUUGAUGAAAAACUUUCUUAAUGAUAACACGAUGUGUGUGUGUUCGAUCGUUUCUCACAAAUGAAAUGGAUUGCGAAUGUGUAUGUUGUGCAUCGUUUGCUAACUGUAUUUACUGCUCAAGAUGUUCAGAUUCGUUACUUGGUGAAUUGUAACCGUGUCUACGAUGUAUGGAGUGAAACCGACAAUGCCAGAAAUACCGAAACCAGCCAUUGCAACACAUUCGGGUUAUAAAGCAUCUUUUUCGUCUUCGUCCCCACUACAGCCAGGGAGUAGCAGUGAUAUGAACACUAACCGUAACACUAACACUGCUAUUAGUACUAGUGCUACGCCAGUGUCUGGUAAAACUUAACUACACAUUACGCUGAGAGGUAAAAUACUCUGACAACAUUCGUUCGAUUGUAUAAAACAAAAUCCAGCCGAAACGAUUGUUGUCAGUAAUCAAGAUUACGAUCUAAAUUGAGUACCAAGACAAAACGAAAUGGUUAAAAAGUUAAAGUCGUUUUUGUAUGGACACAAUUUCUAUAAAAUAGACAUGAGUAAAAUCUCGCUAUUUGUUUGUUAUUGUGGAAUAAUGAAGAGUCAUGGGAGAUGAAUGUUGUAAACGAUGGCAUAGAAUUGGUAACGAAAAGUGAAAUCAUUGGGAUCAACUAUUUCAGUAUUUUGUUUAAAGAAAAUGUUGAACUCGACAAGUAAUGAGAGGUGGUGCUUUCGUUAAAUAAUGAGUGGUGGUUACGGUUAUACAGGAUAUGAUCUGUGUAUGGUGAGAAUGUGAUGUAUGUAUUUGAGUAUAGA